Mus caroli (Ryukyu mouse) is the source of this 107-nucleotide small nuclear RNA. NCBI's taxonomy places the organism in Eukaryota, Metazoa, Chordata, Mammalia, Rodentia, Muridae. The record is from RefSeq and is a predicted model, not a curated record.
AUGCUCACUUUGGCAGCCCAUAUACUAAAAUUGGAAUGAAUCAGAGACGAUUAGCAUGGCCCCUGAGCAAGGAUGACACACAAAUUUGUGAAGUGUUGCAUAAUUUU